This 519-nucleotide ribosomal RNA is filed under the name uncultured eukaryote. RNAcentral's name for it is "SSU rRNA". It matches the Rfam family "Eukaryotic small subunit ribosomal RNA", at positions 1161 to 1703 of the family's 1831-position model. The record is from RNAcentral.
AGGGCACCACCAGGAGUGGAGCCUGCGGCUUAAUUUGACUCAACACGGGAAAUCUCACCAGGCCCGGACACUGGAAGGAUUGACAGAUUGAGAGCUCUUUCUCGAUUCGGUGGGUGGUGGUGCAUGGCCGUUCUUAGUUGGUGGAGUGAUUUGUCUGGUUAAUUCCGAUAACGGACGAGACUCUGUCCUGCUAAAUAGUUCCCGCGUCCUUUGUUGCGCGGGAAAUUCUUCUUAGAGGGACUGGCGGCGUCUAGCCGCACGAGAUUGAGCAAUAACAGGUCUGUGAUGCCCUUAGGUGUUCUGGGCCGCACGCGCGCUACACUGAAGGGAUCAGCGUGUCUUCCCUUCCCGAGAGGGACGGGUAACCCGCUGAACCCCCUUCGUGGUAGGGAUCGGGGCUUGCAAUUAUUCCCCGUGAACCAGGAAUUCCCAGUAAGCGCAAGUCAUAAGCUUGCGUUGAUUACGUCCCUGCCCUUUGUACACACCGCCCGUCGCUACUACCGAUUGAACGUUUUAGUG